AACCGACACAGGNGGUCAGGUAGAGAAUACCAAGGCGCUUGAGAGAACUCGGGUGAAGGAACUAGGCAAAAUGGUGCCGUAACUUCGGGAGAAGGCACGCUGACACGUAGGUGAAGUGAUUUACUCAUGGAGCUGAAGUCAGUCGAAGAUACCAGCUGGCUGCAACUGUUUAUUAAAAACACAGCACUGUGCAAACACGAAAGUGGACGUAUACGGUGUGACGCCUGCCCGGU
RNAcentral lists this ribosomal RNA (233 nucleotides) under Salmonella enterica subsp. enterica serovar Infantis. Its description in RNAcentral is "partial 23S ribosomal RNA". It matches the Rfam family "Bacterial large subunit ribosomal RNA", at positions 1652 to 1867 of the family's 2925-position model. The record is from RNAcentral. Lineage: Bacteria; Pseudomonadati; Pseudomonadota; Gammaproteobacteria; Enterobacterales; Enterobacteriaceae.